RNAcentral lists this ribosomal RNA (253 nucleotides) under uncultured bacterium. RNAcentral describes it as "partial 16S ribosomal RNA". It matches the Rfam family "Bacterial small subunit ribosomal RNA", at positions 524 to 776 of the family's 1533-position model. The record is from RNAcentral.
UACAGAGGUCUCAAGCGUUGUUCGGAUUCAUUGGGCGUAAAGGGUGCGUAGGCGGCGCGGUAAGUCGGGUGUGAAAUCUUGGAGCUUAACUCCGAAACUGCAUUCGAUACUGCCGUGCUUGAGGACUGGAGAGGAGACUGGAAUUUACGGUGUAGCGGUGAAAUGCGUAGAUAUCGUAAGGAAGACCAGUGGCGAAGGCGACACGCUGGGCCGUACCUGACACUGAUGCGCGACAGCAUGGGGAGCAAACAGG